UACUGCGAUAAAACCUGAACUUAUAUAUUGCACAGGAGCUGGAACUGUGACAAUAACAUGAUCUGGAAAUGGACCCCAAGCCUGGCUGACCCAACCUGCGAUGUCACCUUGAACACAGGGGACAAGUUCUUCAAGGAAAGGAAAAGGUUUGUGGAGAAGAAAACACUUAACAGCUAUGAUUAAAAUAAAAUAAAUCCUGUCUGCUGUGUUUAUAAAGCAUAGGGGAACAGAAGGUCUGUGUACGGAAGCUGGAUGUUCCCUUGUGUCCUCUCUCAGCUCUUGGAGAGGGGAAACCAGGCAUAUGCUUGGGUGUCCUUGGAGUCUAAGGUUAGAAAGAUUCCAUCAAGGUUAAAGAGCCCAAUGAGGAGAUUGUUUUACCACUGGCUCCCCUGUUGCUGCUUGAGAUCUUCCAGCCUCUUCCCAUGAGAUGCUUGGUCCACACUGCCAGUUUACACUCAGCUGUGGGGAGCUAAGUGCCAUUACCAGCCAAGCUCGUUGUCAUGCCAACAUGUCAUGCCAACCCUUCUCCAGCCAGACAGCAAUGUCAUUAAUCCAUCAUUAGAGCCAGUUCUUACUGUUCUUUGCUGCAGGAGCUGCCUUGAGAUAUGAAGACCCCACUGCGGCUGACCUCCAGAAGCAGUGCAGUAUGCCCCACCACAGCUGGGUUUAGCUACCAGGAUCCUCUUUGGAGUCUCUUUUGAGGAAUCUGCAGUUCAGGGCUGUUAUUUUUGGAGAGUCAGUGCUCGUGUUUAUUGUGAAGGCUCCUAGAGCUCUUGGCACAGGCUUUGAGGUGAAUCUUAUAACACGUAGGAGUGGCUCUAGCAAGUUUGGUGUGAAAUGUGGAUCUUGAUUGCCAGGUCUAGAAGAGGUUCAAAUCUACUUGAACUUUUGCUACAGUCAAGUUUAAAUUGCCAAACCUGAAGAAAGCAGACCGUAUGUUCCCCCACUAUCUCUUGCACAGCAUCCAAAAAUAACCCACACUUCUUGUUCUUCAUCAUUGCCACCAGAAUCCCCCCUUCAAGCACCAAUCCAGUGCAGGCAUGGAGGAAUAUUUCCGCUGUGUAUGUCCUAGCCCACCUAAGUAUGAACAUCGAGUUUGCUUUCAGUGAGUCAGUGCUUGUGGUGCCUUGCAGCAUGUGUCAGAGUUUAAGAGCAGAGCUGCCCGUGCUUUCUGCUCAGUGAUUUAGAUGCUUUGGCUACAGAGCUGCUUCCUUGCCUGUCCUCUCUCUUUGUUUCAAGCCCUCAGUGCUCUUAGCUCUUAAGUAUAUAUCUACAUGUCAUCCUUGGUAAUGAAGACCUGGAAGAUAUUUUAAAGACAUAGACAAUAAAACUCAGCAUCUCUUUACUUCCUUUCCCCUUUCCUAUGCCCAAGCAUGGAGUUCUUCUGCAAGGAGUUCUUGCUUGCUUUACUAUAUAUUUAUGUUUUAAAAAUCUUGCUGCCAUCUGAAACUGUUGGCUCCAGUUUGGGCUUUUUUGGGUUUGGUUUUGUUGGUGGGUUUUUGUUGUUGUUUUUGUUGUUGUCCUCUCAAGAGGAAGAAAGUAUGUGCGUUUCCAAGUUCUUGAAUAAAUGUCAAA
Long non-coding RNA from Falco peregrinus (peregrine falcon), 1575 nucleotides. RefSeq lists it as uncharacterized. The transcript is spliced from 3 exons. The record is from RefSeq and is a predicted model, not a curated record. Lineage: Eukaryota; Metazoa; Chordata; Aves; Falconiformes; Falconidae.